UACGUAGGGUGCAGGCGUUAAUCGGAAUUACUGGGCGUAAAGCGUGCGUAGACGGUUAUGUAAGUCGGGUGUGAAAGCCCCGGGCUCAACCUGGGAAUUGCAUUCGAGACUGCAUAGCUAGGGUGCGGAAGAGGGAAGCGGAAUUUCCGGUGUAGCGGUGAAAUGCGUAGAUAUCGGAAGGAACACCAGUGGCGAAAGCGGCUUCCUGGUCCAGCACCGACGUUCAGGCACGAAAGCGUGGGGAGCAAACAGG
RNAcentral lists this ribosomal RNA (253 nucleotides) under uncultured bacterium. Its description in RNAcentral is "partial 16S ribosomal RNA". It matches the Rfam family "Bacterial small subunit ribosomal RNA", at positions 524 to 776 of the family's 1533-position model. The record is from RNAcentral.